UGAGACUGAACUUCUUUUGCAUAAAAUAAAAACUAAGAAAAAAAUCUCUUUUUCUUCGUCUACAAUUGUCUCUACUUUUCCAUCAUGAGAUAAAAUAUUCAGCCGUUACUAGGGUUGGGUACUGAGACCUGGUGCUAAUACGGACCUGGUGCCUUAACCACCGUUAUCUACCGGACCGAAUAGCAACACAGAUUUCGGUGCCACUUAAAUGCCUGUGCUUCUCUCUGAUGCUCCUAAACGGACGUUAGAGGCAACCGAAGCAUCGUUGCAUGGGACGCUAGCUAACU
Etheostoma spectabile (orangethroat darter) is the source of this 287-nucleotide long non-coding RNA. RefSeq lists it as uncharacterized. The transcript is spliced from 3 exons. NCBI's taxonomy places the organism in Eukaryota, Metazoa, Chordata, Actinopteri, Perciformes, Percidae. The record is from RefSeq and is a predicted model, not a curated record.